AGUCAUUAAAAAUAAUAAGUAACCUAGUAAUGACUCCAUAUCUCAGUGAUGUGAAAGAGGGCCGAGGGUACAGGAAUGAGGCUGCAAACAUUGUGAAUUACUCCAUCUAGCACACAACACGAUCACAGCGUACAACAGCGUUUUGUAUAAAUUCAGCCAAGCUAAUGAAUGGUCACAGGGGAAACCAGAAAGACAGGCUACCAGUUACAUAAACUUGUUCAACUAAAUGUGUCACCUAUAUGGAAGUAACAGGUUAUGACACCAGAUUUGUUUAGAAUUAACAUUCUUACGAUUUCUUCAGUAAGCUUAAAAUGCCACAAAAAUUGUUAAAAGCUGGCUAAAAGGUACUCCAUGUUGCUUUCUUAAACUGGGACCUGCAAUAAUCAGAAACAAGCUUUUCUGCCAAUCUGGCAAAUACUUGAUUGCCUCAGAUUUUUAGUUAAGAGUCUCACAUUAUCUUAAAAAUACUUUCUUACAGGAUAUUCUGGUACUUCACCAGUAGCUUUACAUUUGAUUAACCUAGAUUGAGCACAAUUUUCUUUUUUAUUCUGAGUCUUUAUCUGAUUAGUAAAGAUAGGCUUGCUGCAGAAAAUGGAAAAUAUAAAGAUAUUAAAAUCACCCUUGGUUCAGUCAUCCAGGUAUAACCAUUAUUUACACUUCGGUAUAUUUCCUUUCAAUGCUUAAUGUUACUAGUGUGUUCAAAAACAUGACUUCUAUUGGUGCAGGGUAUUCUCUCAAGCAGUAACACAUCCAUUUUCCCUAUCAUUAGACAUUUAGAUAAUUUAGAAGAACUGUUUUCUACUGAAUGUUUUUAAAGGUGGCUUUUUCCUUUUUUUUUUUUAAGUGAAAGGUUUAUUUAGAGAGAUACACACUCCACAGAGUGGGGUCUGUCUCAGAAGGGAAAACGGCUUAGGAGAUAACACACUCCAUACAC
Non-coding RNA from Vicugna pacos (alpaca), 934 nucleotides. NCBI's taxonomy places the organism in Eukaryota, Metazoa, Chordata, Mammalia, Artiodactyla, Camelidae. The record is from RefSeq and is a predicted model, not a curated record.